Molecule: ribosomal RNA, 506 nt
Filed under: uncultured bacterium
Lineage: Bacteria
Description: partial 16S ribosomal RNA
Rfam family: Bacterial small subunit ribosomal RNA
Source: RNAcentral
AUUGAACGCUGGCGGCAGGCCUAACACAUGCAAGUCGAGCGGCAGCGGGAAGUAGCUUGCUACUUUGCCGGCGAGCGGCGGACGGGUGAGUAAUGUCUGGGAAACUGCCUGAUGGAGGGGGAUAACUACUGGAGACGGUAGCUAAUACCGCAUAACGUCGCAAGACCAAAGAGGGGGACCUUCGGGCCUCUUGCCAUCAGAUGUGCCCAGAUGGGAUUAGCUGGCAGGUAGGGUAAUGGCCUACCUGGGCGACGAUCCCUAGCUGGUCUGAGAGGAUGACCAGCGAAACGGGAACUGAGACACGGUCCAGACUCCUACGGGAGGCAGCAGUGGGGAAUAUUGCACAAUGGGCGCAAGCCUGAUCCAGCCAUUCCGCGUGCAGGAUGAAGGCCCUCGGGUUGUAAACUGCUUUUGUACAGAACGAAAAGGUUUCUACUAAUACUAGGAGCUCAUGACGGUACUGUAAGAAUAAGCACCGGCUAACUACGUGCCAGCCGCCGCGGUAA